CAAUAGCGUAUAUUAAAGUUGUUGCGGUUAAAAAGCUCGUAGUUGGAUUUCUGCUGAGAACGACCGGUCCGCCCUCUGGGUGUGUAUCUGGCUCUUUCUUGGCAUCUUCUUGGUGAACGUUGCUGCACUUGACUGUGUGGAGCGCUACCCAGGACUUUUACUUUGAGGAAAUUAGAGUGUUUCAAGCAGGCAUACGCCUUGAAUACAUUAGCAUGGAAUAAUAAGAUAGGACCUCGGUUCUAUUUUGUUGGUUUCUAGAGCUGAGGUAAUGAUUAAUAGGGAUAGUUGGGGGCAUUCGUAUUUAACUGUCAGAGGUGAAAUUCUUGGAUCUGCUAAAGACGGACAACUGCGAAAGCGUUUGCCCAGGAUGUUUUCAUUGA
Molecule: ribosomal RNA, 380 nt
Filed under: uncultured eukaryote
Lineage: Eukaryota
Description: partial 18S ribosomal RNA
Rfam family: Eukaryotic small subunit ribosomal RNA
Source: RNAcentral